GAUAAAUACUGGCGACACAACAAACCACAAGUCUGCAUGCCAUCAGCGGUAAUAGAAACAAUAAGUUUGGUUACCACUUGGCACUAGCUAUGACUUGGGUAAAACACAUUUUUUGUAUGCAACUAAGUGGGCCAAAAAAUAAGCCAAGGCAUACAGCUAUUCACAAAUCACAAGUGGCAGAAAUCCUUGACCAAGUAGCAUUGAAACUGUGUAGCCAUUGUGGCCUUUCUGAUCGUUAGAUGGAAGCCGAGGAAAAAGUCAAUCGUUGGGCAUGAAAAACCCCGAACACCGGGCAAACUGCCCACGUAUGUCAAUUUCCAAAUGUAUCUACCAAUGAGACUGGUGGAUGUCCUUCAUCGGGCUUAAAAGAAGAGGUACUCUACAAGUUUCCAGAUCGGUUGGUCCUCGA
Molecule: long non-coding RNA, 409 nt
Organism: Diuraphis noxia (Russian wheat aphid)
Lineage: Eukaryota; Metazoa; Arthropoda; Insecta; Hemiptera; Aphididae
Source: RefSeq, a predicted model, not a curated record